UACGUAGGUGGCAAGCGUUAUCCGGAAUUAUUGGGCGUAAAGAGGGAGCAGGCGGCAGCAAAGGUCUGUGGUGAGAGACUGAAGCUUAACUUCAGUAAGCCAUAGAAACCGGGCAGCUAGAGUGCAGGAGAGGAUCGUGGAAUUCCAUGUGUAGCGGUGAAAUGCGUAGAUAUAUGGAGGAACACCAGUGGCGAAGGCGACGAUCUGGCCUGCAACUGACGCUCAGUCCCGAAAGCGUGGGGAGCAAAUAGG
RNAcentral lists this ribosomal RNA (252 nucleotides) under uncultured bacterium. Its description in RNAcentral is "partial 16S ribosomal RNA". It matches the Rfam family "Bacterial small subunit ribosomal RNA", at positions 524 to 776 of the family's 1533-position model. The record is from RNAcentral.